Sitophilus oryzae (rice weevil) is the source of this 548-nucleotide long non-coding RNA. RefSeq lists it as uncharacterized. The transcript is spliced from 2 exons. Lineage: Eukaryota; Metazoa; Arthropoda; Insecta; Coleoptera; Curculionidae. The record is from RefSeq and is a predicted model, not a curated record.
CUGGUUGCAUAAAAUCCACAUUUUCUGUUUUAACCUUACUUUUUUGUUUACUUGUCAAAAUUCCAGAAUUUUCAUGUUCUUUAAGAUUAGAAUUUAAAUCUGUACAAUGUCAGAUGAAAAUGCAUCACCUACAGUUAAUAAGGACGAUGAAAAGAACCGGGAAAAAGUUAAAUCCAGAGCGAUAGUAAAGUAUUCCGCCCCAAAACCUGCUACUUUUGCUAAACUUCAAUACAAUACUGAUCUGAAUUUGUCCAUUCCGUGAGGUACAUGAGAGACAAAUAUACAAGAAAUAAGUAUAACCAUUCACCUAAUGAAAUUAGAGUAAACGGUCCCCUAAGAAAUCUGGAGGAAUUUGCUUAUGAUUUCGGUUGUCCUGUUGGUUCAUACAUGAAUCCAGUCAAAAAAUGCCAUAUUUGGUGAUUUUAUCACCAAAUCACUGAUUAUAUUAUAAUUAUAAUUUAUAUGUAUUAUUGUAUAAAGCACUUGACUUUUAUAGUUUUAAUUCUAAAAACGUUUAAAAACUUUAUAAAUAAACAUUUUACAACUAA